RNAcentral lists this ribosomal RNA (253 nucleotides) under uncultured bacterium. RNAcentral describes it as "partial 16S ribosomal RNA". It matches the Rfam family "Bacterial small subunit ribosomal RNA", at positions 524 to 776 of the family's 1533-position model. The record is from RNAcentral.
UACAGAGGUCUCAACCGUUGUUCGGAUUCAUUGGGCGUAAAGGGUGCGUAGGCGGUGGGGUAAGUUGGAUGUGAAAUCUUGGGGCUUAACCUCAAAAUUGCAUUCAAUACUGCUCUGCUCGAGUUCUGUAGAGGAGAUUGGAAUUUACGGUGUAGCAGUGAAAUGCGUAGAUAUCGUAAGGAACGCCAGUGGCGAAAGCGAAUCUCUGGGCAGCAACUGACGCUGAGGCACGAAGGCCAGGGGAGCAAACGGG